AGCCUUUUGAAUUUAUAAAAGGUGUGUUCUGCCCGGUGUAUAAUAUUAACGGCCGCAGUAUCUUAACUGUGCGAAGGUAGCAUAAUAAUUUGCCCUUUAAUUGGGGGCUGGUAUGAAUGAAUUUACGAGGUUAAAGCUGUUUCAUUUUAAUAAAUAAAAAUUGGUUUUUAGGUGAAGAAACCUAAAUUUUAAUGAAGGACGAAAAGACCCUAUUGAGCUUUAUUUUUACAAAGUUUCUGGUUAUAAAUUUAUUUAAUUUUAUAAAAAUUUGGUUGGGGCAACUAAGAAAUAUGAAAAUCUUUCUUUAUAUUGUGGAAUAUUUUUCUUUUUAAAGAUCUAUUUUUUUAAAAAAUAAUAAAUAGAAAAAGUUACCAUAGGGAUAACAGGCUAAUCUCUUUAGAGAGUUCAAAUCGAUAAAGAGGCUUGGCACCUCGAUGUUGGCUUAAAGUAUCCGGCAGGUGUAGCAGCUUGCAAAGGUUGGUUUGUUCAACCAUUAAAACUUUA
Molecule: ribosomal RNA, 504 nt
Filed under: Phyllodoce rosea
Lineage: Eukaryota; Metazoa; Annelida; Polychaeta; Phyllodocida; Phyllodocidae
Description: partial 16S ribosomal RNA
Rfam family: Bacterial large subunit ribosomal RNA
Source: RNAcentral